RNAcentral lists this ribosomal RNA (119 nucleotides) under Pteropus alecto (black flying fox). The record is from RNAcentral. Lineage: Eukaryota; Metazoa; Chordata; Mammalia; Chiroptera; Pteropodidae.
GUCUGCGGCCAUGUCACCCUGAACGUGCCCGAUCCCAUCUGAUCUCAGAAGCUGAGCAGGGUCGGGCCUGGUUAGUACUUGGAUGGGAGACCACCUAGGAAAACCAGGUGCUGUCGGCA